CCUACGGGAGGCAGCAGUAGGGAAUCUUCGGCAAUGGGGGGAACCCUGACCGAGCAACGCCGCGUGAACGAAGAAGUUAUUCGGAAUGUAAAGUUCUUUUAACAGGGAAGAAAGAGAAAUUUGACGGUACCUGAAGAAUAAGCUCCGGCUAACGACGUGCCAGCAGCCGCGGUAAGACGUAGGGAGCCAUCGUUAUUCGGAACUAUUGGGCGUAAAGGGGGCGGAGAUGACAUAGUAUGUCUAGUGUAAAAAUGCUGGGCUAAACCCAGUAGGGCAAAAGAUACUGUAAAGCUAGAGUAAGACAGAGGCAAGUGGAACUACAUGUGUAGCGGUGAAAUGCGUAAAUAUAUGUAGGAACACCAGUGGCGAAGGCAGCUUGCUGGGACGAUACUGACAUUAAGGCACGAAAGCGUAGGGAGCAAACAGGAUUAGAUACCCGAGUAGUC
Molecule: ribosomal RNA, 446 nt
Filed under: uncultured bacterium
Lineage: Bacteria
Description: partial 16S ribosomal RNA
Rfam family: Bacterial small subunit ribosomal RNA
Source: RNAcentral